Molecule: ribosomal RNA, 474 nt
Filed under: Triticum aestivum (bread wheat)
Lineage: Eukaryota; Viridiplantae; Streptophyta; Magnoliopsida; Poales; Poaceae
Description: partial small subunit ribosomal RNA
Source: RNAcentral
AUGGACUUAGAGGAUUUUACAACUGCUUGCAAACUCCCGCAGUGGGGUAAUAUUAAUGAUCCUCACAAAUCUGAAUUUAGAGAUUUCCUUGCUAGUAUUACUACGGGAGAAUCCAGGGACAUAGCACAAGCUACCAUAGGGACCAUUCAUUUUCCUGCUAUACAUUAUUUUGCUCUCUUCAUUGGUAGAUGCAUUAACGGUAAAGAUGAAGCAUGUCACAUGUGUGUCCCUGAUCUGUGUUCCCUCAAGAGUGUUGUGUUCGGAUAUAAAGGUUAUAACUUGGGGGCAAUAGUUGCAUGUAGGUUGCAGAAUAAUAGUAGAAAGGGAGAUUUAUUUGGAGGAAUUUAUGCAACCCUGAUACGUCCAUUUUGCAUCAUGCUUUUAUAUCGAUAUUUAUUGCAUUAUGGACUGUUGUUACACUUUAUAUCUCAAUACUUAUGGCUAUUCUCUCUUAUUUUACAAGGUUUAUCAUGA